GCACGGUAUCCAUCUCGCUGUGUUAAUUUACUCUUUCUUGAUAACUGGGAGGCUUCAGGAACAGAUUGUCCAUGAAUCUGGUCGCAUAGAGCCCUAGUUGCGGAUGGGGCUGGCAGAAGAAUCCAGACUCAUUUCAUGCUUGCUUUCCUUUCUUUUCAGCUUUUUCUCCUCCCUGCCUUGGCCUCUCACUUUCUCCCUCUCUCUUUCUCCUGUCUGUUCCUUCCUACUCCUCACUCUUCCCUGGCCCCUCUAGAUUAUUGAUUGGAAAUCACCAAAUAGUUUCUGUAACCAUGUCAUCAAUGGCUGCCAAGGCUCUUGUCAUUAUUCUAGCCACACAGAGUAAAUGACUGGGGGAAAAUGGCNNNNNNNNNNNNNNNNNNNNNNNNCCCGCCAAGUCUUUAUGCAAAAGCAGCCUGUUCAAGCAAGUGAGUUAUUUCACAGAGCCCCUAGUUUAGAGUGUCUUAAUUUUCCACAUUUCUUUGGCUUGCCCUUGCUACCUUCCUGCCUGAUGCACAUUAGAGAGGAAGUACACAAAGGAAUUGUGCAAAGUUUGGAAGCAACUGGCAGCUCUGGAGUAAAUGAGUAAAAGCUAUUGAAUGUGGUGUUCCGAUGAAAAAAAAAAAGGAAGGCUGGUAGAGCCAGAGAGCUGGAUUCAGAUCCCAGGUCUUCACUGUAAUUGCAGGUAAGAUAGUAAUUUUUGUCUCCCUAAGUCUCAUGUUGCUCACUGAUCCCAUGGAGUUAGGAUGAUUGAUUUUCUAUACAUAUUUAUAGCUACACAUACAUGUAGAAGAGUGCAUGGAAUUCCUAUGGAGGGUUGGUUGGUUGAGAAAGGUAGAGGUUGCUGAAAUUCAAGUGGGUCAAAAGUAGCAAAGGAAGAAAAACCUAUUUAGAUCUAGAAGUCCAUGAUGAUGGUAUACUGGGGUGAAAUGCUUGCUUCAUUUUGGAGGAACCGAGAGGCAGGAUGAUUCCAGGAGCUUCCAUAUGAUAGCUGGCCUGUAAGUGUGGGAGUG
This 1010-nucleotide long non-coding RNA is filed under the name Mustela putorius furo (domestic ferret). Its description in RNAcentral is "lncRNA (ENSMPUG00000024583.1)". Lineage: Eukaryota; Metazoa; Chordata; Mammalia; Carnivora; Mustelidae. The record is from RNAcentral.